AAAAAGAAAUCCUAUGGCAAAAGGGUUGAUGUGUACAGUUUUGGGCUCAUCUUAUGGGAACUAGUGGCUGGAAAAAUUCCUUAUGAGGAUAUGAAUCCGAUACAAGCUGCUUUCGCUGUGGUGAACAAGGUACUUUAUUUUUUCCUGUCCUUGUCUAUUCAAUGUUGUUUGCAUUUCAUCUUAUCUUGUAAUUCUGUUUUGUCAUCCACCCAAAAGCAAUCAAGGGUCUAGAUAUUCUGUUGGUGUAACAUCCCCAACUAGAUUCAAAUCAAGGCUUUGUUGAGUAUGUGCUAAGAAUUAAAGUAUUUGCUUAACUUGUAUUUGCCUUUUAUGAAAAAUAAUCCUUGCAUAGUCUUAAAGAGAAAGGACUCUUCACUGCUUUUAUGAACUUCAUUACAUUUUAUCAUCAUAUUAAUGGUCAGUGCCCUGGGGUCUAGAGAAAAGUGUUCCCCCCGCCAUCCAUGGUGGGUUGGUGGGCGUGCGGAUGGAAGUAGUUGCCUUCCUCCUUGGAAGUGGUAGAAAUUCCUGCAAAUUAGUAAUAAUGCCCAAUCGGUUGUUUUCCAGAGUAAACUUGCAUUCACCUACAAAAAGCAUAUGAAUGGAAAAAAUAAUCACAGCUUGCUGCCUCUUAGACCUUUCCUCUAGUGAAAAUUGCACUGAUGUUUGAUUUUUUUGUCCUAUUUUCUUGGCUAAAGAUAGUUUAUCAGUGUUCAUUGGCAUAGGUAUGUGGGCUUUUGAGUUACUUGAAUUCCAAAUCCAUAUAUGCAAUUCAUUUGAUUUGUGUUGAAAUAGACUUGUUUAAGACAAGGAUCUUGUUUCAUUCUUUGUUGCUAAUGUAGCCAGUGAAAUUUAAUAUGAUGACAAGCAUCCGGUUUUCAUUGCAAUAGUGGUAAGAUAUUUUGUUGGAAAUCCCAAUGUCUUGCUGGCAGAGUAAUUCUGGGAAGGGUUUGAAUCAGACUGGUAUUGAAGCAUGAGAUGAUCAUUAUUAACAUCUUUUUAUCUGUUUUAUGUGCUUGCUUUGCUUUUUUCUUAUUGUUUAAUUGAAAAAACUUAGUUUUAACAUUAGAAAUUUUGUUACAUCUUUGCAGAAUUUGAGACCUGCUAUCCCUCAGGACUGUCCUCCUGCCAUGAGAGCUUUAAUUGAGCAAUGCUGGUCUCUGCAUCCCGAGAAGAGGCCUGAGUUUUGGCAAAUUGUUAAGGUAUUAGAGCAAUUCGAGUCUUCGCUUGCCUGUGAUGGGACACUGAAUUUGGUACAAAACCCAACUUGUCAAGAUCACAAGAAAGGUCUUCUUCAUUGGAUUCAAAAGCUUGGUCCUGUGCAUCCAAGUAACUCCCCCAUGCCUAAACCUAAAUUCUCAUGAAUCUCUCUUAUGACCCGGCUUUUGUAAUGCUCUAGGUCUUGUAAUUAGCAAGGUUUGUAUUCGAAGCCUCUUUAUUUGUACUCCUCUUCUAUGUCACAUUCAUGUGAGAGUGAAUUGAUAGAUUGGUAGGAUCCAUUGAGGUGAAAAGUCUUUGCUUCACAAAUAUACAUACAACAAAUGAUCACAAUUUAGGGUGUUUUGAACACUGUAAACUUUGGGAGAAGAAAAUUAGUGUUUUUUCAGAAGGCCACAAAGUUGAAUAUCAUCUCCUCUUCUAUGUCACAUUCAUGGAUUACCAAAUUGCUUGCAAUUGCAAGGCAUUGUCUGAGCCAAUUGAUGUCUCUUUUCUUUUUCCUUAGAUGGGUUGGCAAACAAGAUCCUUCCUCUGCCCCAUUUGAGUUUCUGAGGCAAAAAGAGGUCUAGAUUGUAUUUUGUGAUUUUGUGAUUUUUGAUUUCAAGUUCAUGGGUUUGUUGGAUGUGUGGAAUUAUAGGUACAAGAAUCUACAAAGAAGAAAAAGUAGGGCAGGGGGAUGCCUCUAUUAAUUCUCACAUUGUGUCUGUGACCCCCAUAUGGCAUCAUCAUUGAGGCUUGCAUGUGGGUCAUCCAAUCUUUUUCCAACUGUUAUAGCUUUUGAAGAAAUUCACUAUUUAGUCUUGUGGUGAAAUCUGCUUUUAAAAUUAAUUGAGAGAUUUUUUAAAAUUAUAUUUUUUAAAAUUAAAAGAUUAAUUAAUAAUUAUUUAUACUGUAAUUUUUCCUAGCUUUAUCAUGAAGCAUGAGAUAGAGAAGGAAAGUGAUGGGCUUUUAUUUUUGUUUUGACACAGACAUGUAACCAUAUUUCUAUGGCAAAAAUAUCCCAAUAUUUAUUGCUUCUAUGAUAGUAUUUUGUCAAAGGAAAAAGAUGACAUUUAUGAUUCUCACCGAACACUGGUGAAGGCUCUUUCAAGAAAGCUGUGAACUUUUUCAGCUGUUUGCAAAGUCCUAUUUUAAAUAAUUUCAAUUAAGUUAAUCUGUAAUUAGCACUUAAUCAUUGUAAUUUGUUUUAAAUAAUUUGAAAAGUCAAUCAAUAGUAUCCAUGGACUUGGUGGGCAGAUGCAAUAAAACCACAAUUGGAUGAUGAUGAUGGAAUGUGUGGUCCAGAUCAAGUGAUGUAAUUGGAUAAGUAUAGCCCACCACACUAGACUUGUUUGGGCUCUGCGUGAGUGCGUAUACUGUUGUGGACUGUUUUAUUUUAAAAUUAAAUAUCCUCUACCCAUGGAAAUUAUUAAUUUUUGUUAUAUAUUAUUAAUUUAUGAAAAAAAUUUACUUAAAUUUAAUUCAUUAUAAAUUUAAAAUAUAAAUACGUGAAUUUUAUGUAAUUUUAAUGUGAACAAAUUUGUACAUUUAUCCCAUCAAUUAAAAUAAUUUACACAAAUUAAACUAUAAAUUCUGAAUUAAAAAUAAAUAAAAUAAUAAAGUAUUUUUUUAAUAUUUUUUCCUUUAUUAUAUAUUAAUAAUUAACAUGGAUAGAAGGCUAGAAUUCUCCUUUUUCUUUUCUUUUUCUUAAAAAUUUUAAAAAAUAUAUCUUUUAGAGGGCCAUUGUGCAGCUCGUUGCUUUAUUAAUGCUUGAUGUAAAUCAUUUUGUAGGAUUGUAGAUUUGUUUAAAAUCGAAUUUAUUUAAAAUUUUAAUAUUUAUAAAAAUCAAAUUGAUUUUAGUCUAAAAUCGAUUUGAAUCGAAUCAAUUUAAUUCAGUUUACUCAGUUGAAAUUUUAAAUGAUUUUUUUACACCUUAUUUUAAAUACUUGAAAAUUCAAUUAAAGUAUUUUAACUUUAGUUAUGGUCUGGUUUUCAUAUAUUAUUAAAAAUAACAUAAUAAAAUUUAUAAAUCGAUUUGGUUUUAUUGAUUUUUUCUCACCAAAAUUAAAUUGAAUCAAAAUAAUUAAAAUUUUUAAAAAUAAAAACUAAAUUAAAUAAAAAAUAAUAGAAAAAUCAAAUUAAAUUUCUAAAUUAAUUCAAUUAAAUUAAUUUUUUCAAUGAGUUAUAAGAGUCAGCAAGUUCCUUUGAAUUUUUUUUUAAUUGUCCAAAAAGAUAAUGAAUAGGUAUUAUCACAACUAUUUAUUCUAUUUCGCUGGAGUUCCAAUUUUUAUGCUUUUGUAGAACGUGUAAGUUAUUUUACUGUGGUUAUUGAAUUUUUACUGUAUUAAUGUACUUGGUGUUUUUUUGCUUUAGUUUAUUAGUUUUCAGGGACUUUCUUAUUAUUUUCCUUUACUUGACACAUGUUUCUAGCUCUCACGUUCUAUGUACAGACAAGAGUUUGUGAGCAUCGAGCUUCCUUUCUUCUCCAUUCUUGAACCUCAAAGGCUAUUAGAAGCGAUAGAUCUAGCAAAUUUGGUAUCUAUGGAAGAGAACUAAAUGACUGCGGCAGGAAGAAAUAAGAAUCACUCUGGAAUCCGAUGAAUGGAGAUCCUCUUUGAAUGCAAUCGUCUGAUUAUCUAGGUAUGAUUCUAGUCUUAGCACCUUUAAUAAAAAAUAGAAACUUCAGAUCUUAGAAUAGAGUUAUAAAAAUAGCUCUGCGAGCCAAGCAGAAGUUAUGGUUCAUUGAAGGGAUUAUUUCGAUGCUUGAAAAGGAUUUUGAAAUCUAUGAACAAUGGAAAAUAUGUGACUAUUUGAUCAUAUUAUGGAUAUUGAAUUCCAUAUCCAAAGAUCUUGUAGAUAGCUUCAUCUACACGACAUCCUCUAAACAUCUAUCUUCUGAGAUCUCAAUGAGGUUUAGAGAGAGCAAUGACUCAUAGAUCUAUAAAAUACAUAAGCAGAUCUCUUUAAUCUCUAAAAAAAAAUGCUUCUAUCUCAGUCUACUUCACCAAGUUGAAAGACUCUAGGAUGAGUUAGGAUCCAUGAAAGUAUUGUUCUUGUGGAGCAGCAAAGGCUAUAGAAGAAGUGAACAACAGGAAUGAACUCAUGCAGGUCUUAAUAGGACUGAAUGAAAAUUUUGACUCAGUGAGAGAUCAAGUGUGAUCCUUUGCCUUUUAUAAAUAAGGCAUAUCCAAUGGUGCUCAAACAUGAGUCUCAAAAAGAGGUUUUGGGCAAGAAAAAUGAGUAUGUUGAGUCUCAAGCACUGUUUAACAAUCCUAAGGACAGUCUCAAAAGGGGAAACAAAAAGAGAUAUGAUCCUAAGAAGGGUCAUUUAUAGUUACUGUAAUAUAGAUGGACAUGUUAGGGAUUACUUGCUUUAAAUUGAUUGGCUAUCCAGAUUGGUUUAAGACCAAAACUAAAUUGGAAAGCAGCCUAAGGUGGCCUUACUAUAGUCAUAACAAUCGUAAGCAAAUAUCUUGCCGCAGUUAAGGAAAUUUUCCUAUAGGAAUCCCAAAUAUCCAUAUGGAUUAAUUCAAAAAGUUUUAAAUUAGUUGUGCGACUAAAAAGGAAAGACAAUCUAGUUUGUUUGCUAGAGGACAUGUGAUAAAGGACUAUUUAGACUCCGUGAGAAGUUUCAACCAAUAUCGUUUGGCUAAGACGAAAUAACAGAAAAGAUAGGAUGAAAGACUAAAAGUCUUAUUGAAAUUUCUCAAGGAUUGAAAAGGUCCUUUCUAAUAGCCAAGGGAGGCUAUUUAUAAUAGAAACAAAACCCUAAUGUGCAAAAUUAUGAAAAUAUCUAAAAUAUCCAAAAAUAAUAAUUAAAAUACAAAAGUUAGCCCCGGUCCAAGUCUGCCGUAAAAUCUAAGGUUAGUUGCUCCAUGUCAUUCCCUUCCACUUGUAAAGAACUCGACCUCGAGUUGUCAUCAGCAGGGUAGUACUGAAAUAGAUCUGCCACAUUAAACGUCUUGAAAAUUUUUAUCUCAUGUGGGAGGUCAAGAACAUAGGCAUUGUCAUUGAUCUUCUGAAUGAUUCGAAAUGGACCAAUCUUCUUGGCGUCAAGUUUUUUUUUCUGUCCUCCACCACGCUCCUUGCGUAAAUACACCAUAACUUGGUCACCGACAUUGAAAGACUUGAAACGCCUAUGUUUAUCAGCUGUAACUUUAUAUUUGUCAUUGGCUUCUGUAAGGCAUUGUUGUACCUGUUUGAAAACAUCCACAUGCUGCUUUGCCAAGUUACUUGCUACAAUACUGUUGUGAGAACCUGUGGGAAGGGCAACAAGAUUAAUUGUAUGCGCUGGGACUUUCCUGUACGCAACAACAAAUGGUGACAUCUUUGCGGAGCUAUGGACAACACUGUUGUUAGCAAAUUCCACCAGGUCUUGGAGGAUUUCACUCUCCUUUGGACUCAUCUUGUAAUGAGGCAGAUUCAAUAGUUUUGAUCUAGGAAUGAGAUCAAUCUGAUAUUGAAUAUCCCACAGAGGUGGAAGCUUGGAUGAUUCCUCCACUGUCUUAGGAAACUCCUUCAACAGCUCUUUGAUGGGUGGGGUUAAAGAUGGUGCAUCCUCCAUUGUACUUUUUGCUCUCACCAAUAAGGCCAAUGUGCCUUCAGAUUUCUCAACUAUGCCUGAUAGCCUCUGUACUCCCGUGGAAACAGCAACAACAUUCUUCCCUUCCACUUUAGAAUGUUUAACAGAACCGAAAGGCAAGAUAGUAAUCUUCUUUUGAUUCCAUGUGAACAUGUAUGAAUUCUUUUUUUCUUUGUACAACGCAUCAACAUCGAACUGCCAAGGGCGACCUAGCAAAAUUCCACAGCAAUCCAUAUCCACAACAUCACAAUUAACAAGUUCAGCAUAAGAUUUACCGAUCGAGAUAGGCACGUUGCAGAUUUUGUUGACCUCAAUUGUCGGACCUUCCUUAAUCCAUCCGACUUUGUAUGGUGAGGGGUGAGGCUAUGUAGGCAACUGUAAUUUUUCCACCAACUGCUUAGCUAUCAGAUUCUCACAACUGCAGCUAUCUAUAAUUAGCCUGCAAAUUGCCUCUCCUACUCGACACUUUGCCUGGAAAAUCUUCCUCAUUUGUGUCUCGUCCUCCUGUUUUGUUGAGCAUAAGAUCUUUUUUACCACAUAGGUGACCUCUCCAUCUUUAGAACCAGCAAUAGAUCCAUCAUCGUCAUCCUCUUCCUCGUCAGUUUCAGCCACCUGCUCAACUAUAUUAACAUGCCGGCUGUCAGUAUUAACUCCUCUACGUUCUGGACAAUUAUUCGAUCGAUGAUCAGAUUGCCUGCACCGGUAACAUAUGUCUCCCGUUGGCUUCUGAUAAGGAUUGGUCCUGCCUCCUUUGUCUGUUGUAGUAGUGACUGCCUUGCCCUUACUGUCUCUCCUUUCUUCCAUGGUAUUCGAAGGGUUGCUAGAGUUUACAACCUUAGAAGGCUGCCCGCUGUAGUUGCCUCUAUAUUGCUUCGUCCCUGUUGAACCAGAAUUUUUGUAAUUGAAAUUCUGGUUGUACUGCUGCUGUCGUGGCUGCCAAUCAACACGCUCUUCUGCCCUUUUUGCCAUCUCAAUAGUGUCUGCCAAGGUGAAAAUCGCUUCUACUCCCAUCAUACAACGAAUUUCGUGAUUCAGCCCCCUCUGAUAAUGAACAACCUGUUGGGCCUCGUUCUCACAGUUUUCACAUCUCGCCUGCAGCCUUAAAAACUCCUCAGUAUACUCAUCCACCCUUCGGUUCCUUUGUACACAAUCAUAAUACCGGUUAUAUAAGACCUGAGCGUGAUCGCUAGGCAAGAACCAUUGUUCAAACAUCUGCUUCAUCAGCAAUCAAUUUCGUAUGGGCUCCAGCCUCUUUCGAUAGCGUUCGUUUUGAAUCGAAUUCCAUCAGGCUGCUGCAUCCCCUUUCAACUUAUAGGCCACAAUUGGAACCUUGCGCUCCUCUUCCACAUUCAUAAUUUCAAAGAAGCAUUCAACCUCUGCUAGCCAAUCAAGAACAGAUUCAACAUCUAACGAACCAGAAAAGUUUUGAAGGUCUACCUUGAUCCUGUAACAUUCCUGAUAGUUCUGUUGGGGAUUUGCAGGCAUAGGAUUGACGACCACAGGAUUGGCGGCCACAUAGGGAUGUGCGGCGGUGGCGGGUUGGUGGAUUCCCUACUGCAGGGUCAGCUGUCCGAUCAUCUCUCUCAAUUCUGCCAAGGAUGCCUCAAUCGCAGCAAGUCGCGCCUCUUGGUUAUCUGCCAUGGCCGAAUUUUGCUCUGAUACCAAUCUAAUAAAGGACUAUUUAGACUCCGUCAGGAGUUUCAACCAAUAUCGUUUGGCUAAGACGAAAUAAGAGAAAAGAUAGAAUGAAAGACUAAAAGUCUUAUUGAAAUUCCUCAAGGAUUGAAAAAGUUCUUUUCUAAUAGCCAAGGGAGGCUAUUUAUAAUAGAAACAAAACCCUAAUGUGCAAAAUUAUGAAAAUACCCAAAAUAUCCAAAAAUAAUAAUUAAAAUAUAAAAGUUAGCCUCGGUCCAAAUCUACCGUAAAAUCCAAGGCUAGUUGCUCCAUGUCAACAUGCUUCACAUUGAAGUUGCUCUUUGCCAUUGUAUUGGAUUCCAUUUAUGUGCUUUAAUUUGCCCAUUGAAAUGUGACCCAUCUUUUUAUGAAUACCCAUAACACUUAACAUGCAUUAGGACUCAGGCAUAAAGCUUUUUCUAUUCAUAUUAAAUUUAAAAGAUAUAGAAUUUACAAAGGAUUGCAAGAAAGGGACAAUAUGCAUCAAAUCAGACAAACAAUUAUGAAUCUCAUAGAUAGUAAAAUUUUUCUAGUUGAGUUUGUAUAGACUACCAUCUUCUCUGCCUACAAUAACCAUUUUUUUUAUUCAGAGGGGCCUGUAUAAUGCUAUAAUCAAUAUGAAAGAAUAAUUAAAGAUUAUUAUGCUAAAUGAGUUUACUAACAUAUAAUAAAUUAUAUUGAAAACUGGAAAUGUAUAGAACAUCAUUUAAGAUAAUUGAAAUAGAUAGAGUUAUUAAGCAAUAAUUUAUGACCUCAAAUGUUCAUAUGCAUUUUAACACAACAAGUAUGUAUUUGAUUGAAAUUACCAGUAAAAGAAGAUAAAUCAUGUAUCAGAAGCAUGACAUCCUUCUGAAUAGGACCCUGACUGCCUAGUGGUUGCAGUCAAAGCUGCUUUGUCAUUCGCCAGUUUGGAAAAUUCCUGUUGCAGGGUGUUUAAAGCAACACUCAGCUCAUCAAGCUUAGAGCUACUUUUAGGCUGCUUAAGAGGGCUAUCCUCUUCACAAUCAAGCCUUUCAGCAUCAACCACUAUCCUGUGGCUAUGAUUCUUAGUGAAAACUAAUAAAACCAGAAGAUAAUUUUAUUAUAUAUAUAUAUAUAUAUAUAUAUAUAUAUAUAUAUAAAAAGCUGAAAUCUAAAAUAAGUUAUAAAGAAAUUGACGAGUGGCAUACUUAAAUUUAUGCACUUAUAUCAAGUGACACAUCUAAAUUUAUGUAUUUAUAUUAAGUGAUAUAUUUAAUAUAUUUUAUUUUUAUUUUUAAGUUAUAUUUUUAUAUUUAAUAAUAUUACUAAUUAAUAUGUCAUAAUAAAUACAAUCUAUUAUUUUUAAUGUUACAAUUUAUAUAUGACUUUUAAAUUUUCUAUCAUCAGUAUUAGUAGGUGAUUUUUUAAUUCCCUAUAACUUUUUAAAUAUAAUAUAUUAAUUUAAAAUUAAAAAAUCUAAAACUAAAAAUAAUUAUAUUUUUGAAAUAAUUAAUAAAAAUUAAUAUAUAUCCAUCUUUCUAAUUAUAAAAUGUAAAAAAUGAUAUAUUUAAACUUUUAUAUAUAUAUAUAUAUCUAUAUAUAUAUGUUGAUGAGAAAUUGAUAAGGUCACCGUUAAAUCUAAGAUCGACAAGUGAUACAAUUAAUAUUGCAUAUUUAUGAUAUUUGGCACAAAAAUAUUUAUAAUUUUUUUAUAUAUUUAUAAUUUUAUUUUUAUAUAAAAUAAUAGUUAAUGUAUAUGUAAUAAAUAUAAUUUAUUAUUAUUUUAAUCAUUAUUAAUGUAUAAUUUUUUAAUUUCUUAUUAUUCUCUAAUAUAAUAAAUAUAAUAGUUAAUGUAUACCUUAUAAAUAUAAUUUAUUAUUUUUUAAUCACUGUUAAUGUAUAAUCUUUUUAAUUGUAUUCACAUACUUAGUCUGAUAGUAAAUAUAUCUGAAUAAAUUUGAAAAAUCUUCAUUCUCAAUCUCCAAUUUUCAUUUUUUAAAAAAAUAUAAUCUUUUGAUUUUUUACUACUUUUUAAUAUAAUAAAUAUAAAUUUUUAUUAUAUUUAUUGUUACUAUUAUAUGCUUUUUUGAUGUUCUAUUGCUUUUUAAUAUAUUAUACUAUUAGUAUUGCAAUAAAAAUUUUAUUUUAUUUUUUAUUUUAAUAAUAAAUAAAAUGUUAAAAAUAUAUUAAUAAAUAUUGAGUAAAUACCAUUAAAAAAUGUUUGGACAGUAAAAAAAAUUAUUUUUAUUAUAUAGCACUAAUUCUAUAAUAAAAGACCAUAUAAAAAGUUUUUACUAUCUCACAGUAUUAUUGUUUAUUUAUUUGAUAAUUUUAUUAAGUUAUAACUAAUAUAAUUUAAUUAUAUAAUGUGAAUAAUUAUAUAAAUUAAAUAUAUAUAAUCAAUUAAAAUUAUUAUAAAAAUAUUAAUUGUGAUAAAAUGUAAAAUAAUUAAAGAAUUAAUAGAAGUAUUUGUAUAAAAUAUUAUCAAAUUAAAUUUUAUUCAAUUCAAAUGACUAUAAAAAGUUAAUAAAUAUAAAUAAUAAAAAGUAAAAUUGUUAUUGUAAUGCUAUAAAUCAAGUGUAUAAAUAUUAAAUAAUUAAAUUAUUAAAUUUAAAUUACUAUAAUUUAUUAUAUUAAUAAUUAUAAUAAUUUUAUUCUUUCCAUUUUUUUACAAAAAUAUAACUUUUAUUAUUCAUUUUAUAUAAAAUUCAUUAACACUAUAUUUUAUAUAUUUCUUUACACAUCUCUCUUUCUCCUCUAUUUUUAAAUAGUUCAUAUUUUAAAAAUUUUCUUUUUAUUAUUUUCUUAGCAUCUGAUAUGAGAUGCAUAAAUACACAACUCUCAAUUCAACGUCUAGAUUGAAGUUGGAUGAUGAGUCAUCCUGAUAUUUUGGAGAAAUCAUCUUAUUUUUUUCAAUACUGAAAUAUAUUUAUAUCGAAGUGGUUGUAAAAUCAUUCGUCCUAUUACAAAAUAGUAUUUGCCUAACAUGAUUGAUCUAUUAAAUUUUACCAUUCAAUAAAUUGAUAUACUUGAAUGGUAUUGUGAUAAUGCAGAUAACCACCACCGCUAUUGCCAUCCACCACGUUGGAGUUUAAUAAACUUCAUUUUCCUAAGAAUAUAUAGUUGCUUGAAUAUAAUUUAUUUUUUAUAUUAAUAAUAUACAAUAACAAGUACUAAAAUCUUUAAUUUUAUUUAUUACAAUUGAGUUUGAUGGUUUAUAAAUUUCUAUUUGAUUACUAUUUUGAAUUUAAAAUUUUAAAGGAAAUGUUCUGCUUUUCUUAGUAGGUGGAGUAAAUUUAUACGUAAAGAUAUAUUAUUUUAUAAAAUAAUAUCAUAUGAUAGUAAUUAAAAAAUUUUAAUAUUUACAAAUGACUAGUUAUUUAUGUAACAAUCCGGCUCAAACUGAGCUAAAUAACUUUAAAUCUACUUUCUACUUAGUGAAAAAUGGUUAACCCAAAUUGUUUAAUAGUUUUUACUAGUUAUUUAUAAAUCCAUCAAUUUUCAAUCAGUGUAGUACACUACAAUGUCCUCUCUCAAUUUUGCGACGUCCCCGUCGCAAGUUGAUUCGCUAGUGUUCCGGAUGACUCCAUUUCAUCUCACACGUAUAGCUCUUUUUUUACAAACCCAUUAAUUUCGUAUAAUUUUUUGACUUAUAACAACUCUGAUAUCAAUUAAAUGUCACAAUUUAUUAAGGUAUGACUAGUUUAAAUUAUACUCAAAAUAUUGAAAGUUAAUUCAAAUUAAAAUAUAAAAAUAGAAUUAUUUAAACUUUGAUGAAAAGUUUGGGAACAUAUCUGAUUCAUUGGUCAAGAAAUUUUGUUAUCUAGUAAAUCAAUCCACCAUAGGACUCAAUAAUGGUGAAUGAGAGACAAGAAAAUCAAAGCAAUGAGUAGGGAGAUUGGAUUUGGAAGGUAGAACAUCAAACAUAAUUUCUUUUUAUGACAAUGAUUCUCAACCAAUAGGAUUGGUUUUGGUAAAAAAAAUGAAUUUUUUCUUUCUCACAAUCCAAAUUAUACCCGACAAGCUUUUUUCUCAUUUAUGAAUUAUUGAGUUAUGUCUAUAUUUUUUCACAGCCAAAUGCUCAAUUUUUAUCUGUUUUUUUAGAUAGAUUGAAAUUGAAUCGCAACGGUAACCUAAUCAGAAAUUUUUUAAAAUAAAGUCGUUUAAAAUCGAACGAAAUAUCUAUAAAUAAACCAGCGGAUUGAGUCCGUGGCAGGGCAUACAUGUAUAAACAUAUAUAUAUACAUCACACACAAGUAUUGAAAAGAUAAUCUAACAAACUUGGCAGUAGAAAUUAUUAUAGGAGAUCCUAAAGAUUUGGUGUUGUCUCCUUUGAAAGAAGAAAGUACAGUGAGGUUCUAUAACAAUUUCGAAAGGAAGAAAAUGUGUCUGAUCCUCUUAAGCCAGUCCAAAGUUGUAUGUCCCCAUUGGGCUAUAUUUAGGAUAUAUUGAGAGUGACUAGUCACUUGUAACCACGUCUCUCUCUAAGGACGCAUAGUAUACCCUUAACUCAAAGCCACUUUAGAUGCGGGCCUGCCUCCUCGUUCACUGUUUCUUACACAGUGCUUUAGACGUUUCUGCAUCAUCUAGUGUUCAAAGUGAUGCGUACAUAUACAACUUUUCAUCUUUUACUUAUGGUUAUUAGGCUAUUUGCUAGCCUCUCAGGUGAUUUUAAGGAUGUAGUCUUUUACAUUUUUGGUAUAUUUAGAAUAAAGGAUUUUAGAGUUUUUCACUGAAAUCUAACUCGGUUGAGGAGAGGACAUGGUCAUAGGAACACUUGUUUUUCAGCCAUUGACAUACAUGAAAGCAGGUGAAAGUAUUUGUUUUAAGUAUAUCUAUCCAUGCACAAUCAACGAGAGUUGCUUAAUGUCAAUAGAAUUUACUCAAGUUCUUGGUUUAAGAAUCCCAAUGCUCCAUAUUUGUUAACAAUAAAAAGAAUUUUGUUUUUCUUUUAUUCUUUUUAAGAUGACAAUCCUAUCGGAUUGAGAAUUUUGUUAUUUUCGUUUUAAAUUUUGGAUGUUAUAUUGAUUUGGAAUAGGAUUAAUGAAUAAGAAUUUUAAGUCUUUUUUUUAAUUAAUUUUUUAAAAAAUUAGACCUGACUCAAAUUUAACAUGAUAGGAGAAUUUUUCAUUCGAUAUUAAUCGACUGUAAUAUAUCACACUCCAAUAUAAAACUAAUUUUUAGAGUCCGUUAACGCUGCAAAUUUAACACCUUUUUCUUAAGGAUUUGAAAUCUCUAAUGCUGUGGUCCAGUUCUUCCCAUGGACGUCAUGGCACUGUUCUUCUUUUGUUGUUUCUGCUAUUGGAUUGAAUUUCUUCUUAUGCUUUGGUUCUGUUGUUGUCUUUAAUUAUUCUUUAGCAUUUGAUUGUGAACCAUUAAUUUUGUUUCUUACAUCUGUUUGUUUUUAUUUCGAUGUUGGCUUGAUUUUUUUAAAAUUUUUCACUUUGCUCUGGUACUUCGGGUUUUGCCCAAUUUCAUAUCUAGGGUUCAAACAGUUAGGGCUUGAGAUGGGAUCGGAGCGGCUGUAGCAAAAUUGAGUUGUCAGUGUGGGCGUUGUAACCUAAUUUCAUGUAAUGAAAUAUAUUUCUUUAAAAAAAUAAAGCAGUAAAAUGACUUAAUUUUGUGGGAAUAUUCUGAAGCAUAGAUCAAUAUUUUAUUUAUGAAAAAGAAUGGAAAAAGAAGAAAGUUGAAGUAAAUAAACCACUCUUAAAAAGAUUUUUUUUUUCUUUAAAUUAUUAUUCAUAUAAAAAAAUUAAUUAAUUAAUCUCUUAAUUUUUUAAAAUAUAUUAACGAUUAUGUGAUUUCAUAAACUUUAUUAAAAAGUCCAUAUAGUUAAUUUGAAAUAUUUUUAUCGCUACUCUUAUUAUUAAAAGGUAAGAUACUUUCCUUUCCGAAUUAAUUUUAAUAUUAAAAAGUGAAUAUAUUUUAAAUAUUUUUUAACUCUUAAAAUUAAUGAAUAAUUUUUUAAUAAAUUUUUUAAAAUCAUAAUAGCAUUUUAAUAUAUUUUUAAAAAUUAAAUAACUAAUUAUUUUCUUUUUUUAUACCACGACUAUUAUAGUAGAUGUACCAUAUAAAAUUAUCUAUAUGAUACAAUUAGUUAAUAAAAAUAAAAUAAAUAAAUAAAUAAAAUUUAUAUUUUUUUAAAAAAAUAUAACUAUUUUUAUAUAAAUAUUUGAGUCUUAUUUAUUUAUUAUACUAUGUAAGUAUCUUACCUAGUACAAUUAUUUUACUCUAUGAGGAUGGUAAAUUUUCAUAGAUUUUUUUUUUUAAUUUUAAUAGAAUCAAACUUAAAUUAGUUAGUAUUAAUAAUAAAAUUUAAUGGGUUUUUUUUUACUCUUAAUAAAAUGAAAAAUCGGUGUUAAAUGGUUGGAAUUUUUAAAAUUUAGAGAGUAAUUCAUAGUUAAUUAUAAAAUUCAUAAAUUUACUAAAAAAAUUGUUUUUGGCUGAGAUAAAGAUAAUUGGUGAUUUGUAUUUGGACAAUAAAUCACCAUAUUCGCUAUAGAUUCACAUGGGACUAAAUGCUAAAUUUUUUUAAAAUAAAAAAAUAUUAUUAAAAUAUCAAAUAAAAAUAAUUACUUUUAAAAAUUAAGCAACUAAUUAUUUUAUUUUUUUAUAUUAUAGAUAUUAAAUAGUAUUUUUUUUUUCUCUAUCUGAAAUUUAUACAUUUAUUCUUAUAAGAUGGAAUCUAAGGAUAAGAUGGGUAGUUCGACAUUCUUGUGUGAAGUUUGGUAGUUUGAUAUUCUUGUGUUAAGUGAGAUCGAGAAUUUAAUACUUAUAAAUAAAGUAAAUAUUUAUUAUGAAUAUUUUAAAAAUAUGAUUUAGUUUCAUUCUAAUAGACUGAAAAUACAAAAAUUAUUUUAAAAAAAGAUGUGUUUCAAGGGGUAAUACAACCAUUCAACUAGGUCUAAUACAACUGGAAACUAAAAAGGCCUAAGCCGACUAUUAUAAUAGAUAAAUUAUAUAGCCACAUUGUUAUACCAUGAUACAACUAGUCAAGAAAAAUAAAAUAAAUACAUAAAAUCUAUAUUUUUUAAAAAAAUUAAUUAUUUUUAUAUAAAUAUCUUACUUUUAUUUGUUUAUCAUAUAUAUUUUUUUUGAAAGUAAAGCUAUUGAUUGUAUUAAUAAAAUUCUAUCAAAUAAAGAAAGAUAUUAUCCCACACAGAGAAAUGAUUAUGCCUGAUGGAUUCUCUAACCAAAAUAUGAGCAGUUAGAAUAGCAUUACGACGAAUCCAUCUAACAGAAAUAUCAGUUUUAGAGUCUAACAAAAAUUUACAAUCAUUCAAAAUCAAACCCUUGCGUAAGAUAAUUUGACAAUAAUGUUCUUCAAGUGCCUCUUUAAAUCCCUACAUAAGAUAAUUUGGCAAAAAUACUCCUCAUUCUUUCUCAUCUCUCGAGCAUAAAUCAUUAAAGUCUCCCGAGCAAAACCACGGAAUAGAGCUCCUACGAGAUAAAGCUCGAAUAAGGUUCUAAAACUGACGUCGUCGUUGCAAUUCCGGAAACCCAUAAUAACUAAUAAACCUCCAUUGAACAUUACCUUCCGAAACAACCGAAUCAAUAAAAUUUAAAGAAAAAUCAACCACAGAAACAGACUCAUGACUCUUCCACAUUAAUGAAAAGCCUCAUCCCAAUCCUUGUCUAUUGACUGAGAAGCAACCAUCAAAAUGUAAAAAACUAUGAAAAAAUUUCAUACGAGAACUAAGAACUUUUGUUUCCAUCAAAAAUAAAAUAUCCGGCUUGUAAUUAGGAACUAAACUCUUCAAUGUAAUAAAUGUCCGAGGAUUGCCGCCAUAAAUCUGCCAAACAGGUCUGCAUAUUCUGAAAAUUGAUUGGAUUGUAUAUGAGAAACAUUCCACUAUACAGAAAUCAUAAGUGACGAUCGAAAUAUAUCUGGAGCUCUUAAUAGGGACAACAACAUCUUCUUCUUCAUCGAUAGUCAAUUGACGCAGAUCGUCUUCCACGAGAAAGGAAAAGAAGAAGUUAAGUUUAAGGAAGAGGAAAAGAUAAGAGUAUCGAGGCACAAAUGGACCACAGAAUAAAACUUGCGUCUCAUUUGUUUAUUAUAUCAUAUAAGUAUCUUAUUUAGUAUAAUCAUUUUACUCUAUGAUUUUUUGAAAAAUAAAAGAUGUUAAAUAAAGAGAUAUCAGAGCACGAGAACAUUCCUAUUUGUUUGUUGUACCAUGUAAGUAUUUUAAAUGGUAUAAUCGUUUCACUCUAUAUUUAAUGGUAGAAUUUAAUGAUUUUUUUUUUCAAUUUUAAUAGAAUAAAAGUAAGGAAAAAGCUUGAUAGCUCAACUUGAUCUACAAUAAAUGUGAAUCAACGAGGUUAUUCAAGUAAUUUCAUAAUGUAUUUUUACUUUAUUAACCUUUUUCUAUUUUUUCUAAAAUAAUAUGUAGAAUUUGAAAUUCAAAUUUUACAUUCUCUCAACCAUUUAUUAAGUGUUUCAAUUUUCAAAACAGAAUUAUAUUUUCUAUAAGCAUGUCAACUACUUUAUAUUUCUCAAUUUAUUAUAACUUCAUUGUCUAAGUUUUCUCUUUCAUUUCAUAUUCCUAUACGAUUUUGAAAAUGAAAAGCCCUCUUACAUCGGAUUGGCAUGUGAAACAGUGAGUUUAAAAAUAGAUAAAACUACAGCAUGAAAAGGUUGCAAAUUUGAAUUUUAAAUUUUUUUGACAAUAUAAAAAAUGACACCGUAACAGGCAUGACUUAAAUUAGUUAAAAAUAUUUCAAUUUAUAUUAAAUUUUAUAAAUGAUAUAUUUUGUGAUUUAAAUUAAUAUUUAAUUUGGUAUGAUGAUUAAAUAUAUAUUUAAUUUGGUAUGAUGAUCAAAUAUAAAUUUAAUUUGAACAUUACAAUUAAAUAAUUUAUUAAAUUAUCAUUUACAAUUUAUUAAUUAAUUGACACUAUAAUUAUAAUAUAAACUUAUAAUAUAAAAUUGAGAUAUAUGACUUAAAUAUAAGAUCUCAUAUACUAUAUGAGACUUAAAUUUAAAUUUUAACAUGUGACUUAAAUUUAAAAUUUCAUAGGAUAUAUCAAAAUCGACACUAUAAUUAUAAUAUAAAUUUAGUUAUGUAUAAUUGAAAUAUGUGACUUAAAUUUAAAAUUUCAUACAGUAAAGUCAAAAUCGACACUAUGAUUAUAAUAUAAAUUUAGUCGUGCGUAAUUGAGAUAUGUGACUUAAAUUUAAAAUAUCAUAUAAUAAAGUCAAAAUCGGCCCUAUAAUUAUAAUAUAAACUUAUUCAUGCGUAAUUGAGAUAUGUGACUUAAAUUUAAAAUCUCAUGCACUAAAAUCAAAAUCGAUCCUAUCAUUAUAAUAUAAAUUUAGUCAUGCGUAAUUGAGAUAUGUGACUUAAAUUUAAAAUCUCAUACAGUAAAAUUAAAAUCGACCCUGUAAUUAUAAUAUAAAUUUAGUCAUGCGUAAUUGAAAUAUGUGACUUAAAUUUAAAAUCUCAUAUAGUAAAGUCAAAAUCGACCCUAUGAUUAUAAUAUAAACUUAAUCAUGCGUAAUUGAGAUAUGUGACUUAAAUUUAAAAUCUCAUACAGUAAAAUCAAAAUCGACCCUGUGAUUUGAGAUAUGUCAUUUAAAUUUAAAAUCUCAUACAGUAAAGUCAAAAUCGACCCUAUGAUUAUAAUAUAAAUUUAGUUAUGUAUAAUUGAGAUAUGUGUUUUAAAGCAUAAUUGAGAUAUGUGACUUAAAUUUGAAAUCUCAUAUAGUAUAGUCAAAAUCGAUACUAUAAUUAUAAUAUAAACUUAGUUAUGCGUAAUUGAGAUAUGUGACUUAAAUUUGAAAUCUGAUAUAGUAUAGUCAAAAUCGACACUAUAAUUAUAAUAUAAAUUUAGUCAUGCGUAAUUGAAAUAUGUGACUUAAAUUUAAAAUCUCAUACCGUAUAGUUAAAAUCGACACUAUGAUUAUAAUAUAAAUUUAAUCAUGCUUAAUUGAGAUAUGUGACUUAAAUUUGAAAUCUCAUAUUAUAAAGUCAAAAUUGACAUGUGAUUUAAAUGUAAAAUCUUAUAUAUAUAGUAUAGUUAAAACCAUUGAAUUAAACAUUAAACCUUACUAUAAUACAUAUUAUAUUAUUGAAUUAUUAAUAAAUUUUAUAUAUUAUAAAUCAGUAUUAUUUCGACCUUAUGAUAUCAUUUUAUAAUAAAAUAAUAAAUAAUAUUAUAGUAUCAUUUCAACUGCUGUUGUUGUAGCGAGAUUGAUCAAAAAAUCUAUUGUUGAUGUUAUGACUGAGUGAUCUUUCCAUUUUGCAAGAAAUGAGUAAAACAUGCAUGGGAAGUAGGAGAGACAAGUGAGAACAUGCAAAGAAAAUAGGAGAAAAAUGUGAGAUCGUGUAAGAAAAAUAGAAGAGGAGUAUCAGAGAAUAUUAGAGAGAAGAAUGUUUGUGAAGAAUAUAAAUGGAUAGAAAGAAUAAGUAUUAAAAUGAAUAUAUUUUUUAAUUAUUAUUUAUCGAUAACAUAAUUUAUGUUGUUUGCUAAAAAAGAAGAUAUUUAGUUGGAGGAAAAUAAACGAAGGAGAGAUUGUAAUUUGAAGGGUUAAUUUGCCUCUAAAAUCAGUAAAGGUAAAUGUGAUAUUUUAAGUUGAUGGUACUCAUUUGAGCCACAAUAAAUAUCGCUCAAUUUGAACCAUCAAUUAUGAUCCUAAAAGUAAAUUAGUGUAGCAUCUAACGGUAGAAUUUAAUAAAUUUUUUCAAAUUUUAAUAGAAUGAAAAGCAAUUUAGUGAGUAUUAAUGGUAUAAUUUAAUGGAUUUUUUCAAUUUUAAUAAAAUCUAACUUAAAUUAGUGAGUAUUAAUUAAAAUUUAAUGAAUUUUUUUUCAGUUUUAAUAGAAUGAAAAGUCGAAGUAAAUAGAGAAAGUGGAGACCAUCAAAAUUAGUGAGCAUUAAUGGAAUUUUUUCAAUUUUAAUAAAAUGAAAAGUCAAGGUUAAAUAGAGAGGUUAGAGACCACCAAAAUUAGUGAGCAUUAAUGGCAGAAUUUAAUAGAUUUUUUUCAAUUUUUAUAGAAUCAAAUUUAAAUUAGUGAGUAUUUUUUUUUUUUUUUAAGAUUGGAUUAGAGAUUGGAGGAGUAGAAUCUAAGACUUUGGAUGAGAUUCACAUGGUCGCUUUGAUAUUCCCAUUGCCAUCGAUCACAUUUUUCAUACAGCGAAUUCAUGUAUUGAUGAUUUGAUUAGAUUGGUAUUAAGAAUUCUAAGUUUAGAUAGAAAUUUUGGAUAGAUCUACUAAAAAAGCUAGUAUCUUUUUUUUUCAUGAUAUUGGUUCUGCUUCUAACAUGAACCCGAGCUAAUUCUUUCUUAGUUUUUCCUUUCUAUUUUUUUUUUAAUUUUAAUAAAAUCAAACUUAAAUUAGUGUGUAUUAAGAAUUCAAGGACUUUUAUUCAAUUUUAAUAAAAUGAAAAGUAAAUUAAUGAGUAUUAAUUGUAGAUUUUCAUAGAUAUAUUUUUAAAAAAUUUAAUAGAAUCAAACUUAAAUUAGUCAGUAUUAAUAAUAAAAUUUAAUGAAUUUUUUUUCAUUUUUAAUAGAAUUAAAAGUCGGUGUUAAAUGGUUGAAAUUUUUAAAAUUUAGAGAGUAAUUCAUAAUUAAUUAUAAAACUCAUAAAUUUACUAAAAAAAUUGUUUGUAGAUAAUUGGUGAUUUGUAUUUGGACAAUAAAUCACCAUAUUCCCUAUAGAUUCACAUGGAAUGCUAAAUUUUUCCGGAAAAAAAAUUAUUAAAAUAAUUAUUUAUCAUGAUUUUAAAAUAUAAACUACACAAAUUUAACUAUUUUCUAUUUUACAUAAUUUUUUAUCAUAAUUUUUUUAAAGAUAAAUAUUUAUUGAAUAAGAUUGGUUUAAAUCCAUUAUAUAAAGUUCUUGAACAACUAAAUUUAGCGUUCUAAAACCUAUAGAAAAGAUAGAGAUACAGCAAAUCUUAUAACCCAAAAUUAUUAUUCAAAAAUUCUACUGCAUUUUUAUCGGAGCAAACAAACACAGUUGCUGAUAAAAUUAAAAUGGAAAACUCUCCACAUUGCAGGGGUGAGCAUUCGGUCGGUUCGGUUUAAAAUCGGACCGAACCGAAUAAAUUGAAAACCGAAAUUUUAAUUUUUAUAAAAAUCGAACCGAAUCGAUUUUGGUCAGAAACUGAAUCGAACCGAACCGGUCUGAUUCGGUUCUAUUCAGUUCGAUUUGAUCAGUUUCGAUUUUUAAUAAUUUUUUUUAUUUUUUACACUUUAUUUUUAAUAUUUUAAAAUUUAAUUAAAAUAUUUUAAUUUUAGUAUGAUUUAAUUUCUCUAUAUUAUUGAAAAAACAUAUUAUUAUCACUAAUCGGUUCGGUUUGGUUUUUUCAGUUUUUUCUUAUCAAAACCGAACCGAAAUAACCAAAAUUUCUAAAAUUAAAAAUCAAACCGAACUGAAAUGUAUAAAAAACCGAACCAAAUUUUCAAAUCGAUUUGAUUCGGUCAAUUUUUUCGAUUUGAACCGAAUACUGCUCACCCCUACUCUCCAUCUACAAAUGCUGAGUAAGGCCGGAAUGCCUCCUAAAGCACAUGAAAGACCAACCGAUAUUUGAGGGAGAAAAAGCCCUUAAUCACACCAGCACAUGAAAGGUCGAUAUUUGAGAGAAAAAAAGUCCUUAAUCACAACUGAUAUUCGAAAUAGAAAAAGUUCUUAAUCACACCACCUUACUCCCUUAUGAGUUAAGGAAAAGGAGCCUUGAAAAAGAAAUAUAGAAGACAAGUAAGAAACUACAACUCAUUCGAGUUAACAUUACAAUCUUCAAAUCUUAAAAUUGCGAGCCACCAUUCUUCUUAAGCUUGUAAAAAUUUAUAUGAUAAAAGACUGAUUAGAGUUUGUUAGAAGUUUAACCAAUAUCAUUUGCUUAAAAUGAUAUAAAAAAAAGAUAAAUUAAAAAUAAAAAAUUAUUAUUGAAAUUUUUUAAAAAUUAAAAAAAGUAAAUCCCAAAUAGUAAAUAAAUGCUAUUUAUAAUAAAAAAAAUUUAAUAUAUAAAAUUAUAAAAAUAUCUAAAAAAAUAAUUAAAAUAUAAAAUUAAUUUUUUAAACGAUAAAAUUUUUAUUAUCGUUAAUCUCUAUCGAACAUCGAUAGUAAAAAUUAAAUUCAAUUUAAAUCUUUUAUAAAAUUGAAGAUUAAUUAUUUCGUAUUAUUAUAUAUAUUAGGGUAUUCCCUCAAGGAGCAAAGGUAAUACCAUUAAUACCAAAAAAACAACUAAAAACUUAAAAUCGAUAGCCAAACAAGCUUUGGAUUUGAACUGCUGCGAUCCCGGCUGUGGAGAAAGAGUUAAAAAAGAUGAAUAUAAUCUAUAUGUUGAACUAUGAUUAUGAUAUACAUAAAAAACAAAAUUAGUACAGUGAUGUUUUUCCAAAAUAAAAAAUUUAAGUGGUCAUAGUAGGUCCACGAGCCUCUCCCUUGGUAAACAAAAUCAGGCAACCCCACCACCCUCUCAAAUCACAAACUUUUUUCAACAGCAUCCAAUUUUAUAUUUUCCUUUUUUUUUUUCUUGCCUUUGCUUUUUUCUCACUAUGAUAAAAGCCUCAGAAUAAAUCAAUGACUUAGCAACAUCUGUUACAAGUUAGAAGACACAUUGUUUCCUUUUUAGGCUAUUCUUUGAUGGAGAACAACUCUAUCAGUUCUUCAAGAACUGAUAAGAAAACAAUAGAAAGAAAUAGAAGAAAUCAAAUGAAAGCUCUCUGCUCCAAGCUCAAUUCUCUCCUGCCCCAUCAAAGCUCCAGGGUUCCCAUCUUUCUUUCUCUCAGUUUCUUUUCUUUUUCUUUCUUUUUUUUCUUGAUUUAGCAUUCAUGGUGUUGCAGAAGCCGAUGUCGCUGUCUGAUCAGCUAGAUCAGGCUGCAAAGUAUAUAAAAAAGCUGCAGAUAAAUCUGGAGAAAAUGAGGGAAAGGAAAGAAAGCUUAAUGGGAAGAGAAGAACGGCCGCCGAACUCAUCAAGCGGGAGUAAUGGAGCAACAAUGCGCUUAAGAUAUCCACAAAUUAAGGUUCAUGAAAUUGGUUCAGCUUUAGAGGUUGUUUUGAUAACUGGGUUGGAAACCCAGUUCAUGUUCAAUGAGAUUAUUCGAAUUCUUCAUGAAGAAGGAGCUGAGAUUGUUAAUGCUAGCUUUUCUGUUCUAGAUGAUGUCGUUUUCCACACAAUACACUCCAAGGUAGAGGAUGAUGUUCUUCUUCUUCUUUUUCUUCUUCUUCAUCAACUGUACUUGAAAUGCUUCGAUCAAGAAAUUUAUUCCCCUUGAAUUCUUGCAGGUUGGAGAUUCUUCCCAUAGUUAUGGAGCUGCAAGGAUUUCUGAGAGGUUAAAGAAGUUUGUCCCAGAUGCUAAUCCAUUUUGAAGUUUGCAGACUUAGCUGUGAAAGUACCAUGAGAAUUAACUAGUACGAUUUCAUUUACAUGUUCUAACUCUCUCCUUAGGAGAAAGUUCUAUAAAAGUAAACUUCUUGUCCCCAACCAUAGUGUUCAAGAACCAGGAAGCUAUUGAUGUGUAUAUUAUUAUUUUAUUUUAGUUUGCAUCCCAUUUUUAAAUUGGAUGAUAUAUAAUUUAGGUUUCGAUUAUUUGUAAAAAAUAAUUAUAAAAUAAAUCAUGGCAAAUGAGAGAAUUAAAAAAUUUUCAUUAAAAAUAUUAUAUAGUUAUUUCAAAUAUGAGCUAAAGACAUUUUUAAUGAAUGCUCUUUCUACUUAUAAAUAUAGAAAUAAUUAUUUUCAAUUUAUUUAAAAUUUAAAGUUGAUAUUUUAUAAUUUUAAGGAUAAUUAUUAAGAUUAUAUUUACAAUAAUUUAUAUUUAUAUUUAAAACUUUAAUGGUUAGAUAAUAAAAUUAAUUUUUUUCAAUUUAUCACAAUUCGAAGUAUUAAAUUAAAUUUUUAAAAAAUUAAUUAUAAAUUAUAAUGUACUCUCUAAAUUUUUUUAUUCGACCAAUAAAAUAAUACGAAAGAAUAUAUUUUUAUUUUAAUAAUAUUUUUUCAAUAGUAUAUUUAUAUAUAUAUAUUUAAAAUGUUAAAAAAAUUUAUAGACUAAAAUAUAUAAUAUAUUACUUUAAAAUAAAAUAUUAUUAAUAUAAAAUAUUCUUUUAUGUGUGAAAAGUAUGCAUAUAAUUUAUAAUGUUGAAUAUAAAAUAUUUUAAUAUAUGAUAUUUAUAUGUGAUAUUUUAUUUAUGAGGAAUUUAUUUAUAAUAAAUAUUUAAUUAUUGGUUAAAUAAAUACUUGCAUCUCUAUACUAAUUGAAAUUAAUUUAUUGAACAUAUAAACUAAAAUCUUAAUCACAUUAACUGUAAUUUAUAAAAAAAAAAAAAUCAAUCAUAAAUAUUGCUUACUACACUUAAAAUUUUACUAAUUAUACUUUAAAAUUUUUAUAAAUUAAUAAAAUUAAAUAAGAGUAAUUUUAUUAUUUUAUGAAUAUAUAAAGCUAAUCAUUCAGUAAAAUUUCGAGUAUAAUAUGUUUUGACUUUUUCUUUAUAAAUAUUUUUAAUUUAUAUUUAAUUGUUAAAAUUUUAUAAGUUUAAGUAUUUGAUAGAUUAAAAUUCAAGUAUAUAAUGGAUAAUAUAAAAUAAUACGGGUGUAACUAUAUAUUUGGCUAAUAUUUAUUAUAUAUAAUAUAUUUAUUAUUAAAAAAUGAAAAAUAUAUUUACUUCUAAAAUAAAAUUUAAAUUAAAAAACUAUGUAUUUUAUCUAUAUAAAUUUUAGAUAUUGUAUUGUAGUUUUGCCGUUGGUAUUUCUUUAUUCAAUUUAAUACUUUUAGUUGUAAUCGUGUCAAAUUAAAAAAUUUUAAUUUUAUUAUUUAAAAUUUAAAAUAUAAAUUAACGUAAAUAUUUAAAAUUUUUAAUCGAUUAGCCAAAUAAUUAAAGCGUAAAUGUGUUUUUUAUAUUUGAAACGAAGGUUAGUUGUUUAUAAAAAAAAAUAAAGAAAAAAUAUAAAAAAACAUAUUACGUGAUUUUAUUAAUUUUUUAUUUUAAAAUUUGUGAUUUAAUUUAUAUUAAAAUAAUAUUUAUAGUAUCGCAUUGCUAGUAAAUAGUAAUAAUAUUUACUGUAAGAAAUAUUGAUAUGAAAAUUAUAUUAAUAAUAUACUAAUUAAUGUAACACAAAUUAAAUAAAAAAUUUUAAAAUAAAAAAUUUUAAAAUAAAAAUAAGUAAAAUUAUAUUAUAUUUUAUUUAAUGCAUUAAUAUUUUUUAACAACAUUAAAAAAUUACUGUUAUUUGUUAUUUAUUAAUAUCGCAAUACUAUAUAUACUCCUUUGAUAUCAAUUAAAUAAUAUAUUAAAAUGUAUGAAUAAAAAUACAGAAUAUUUUAUAUAUUUUUUCUAAAAAUUAUUGAUUAAUUUUUAAUUUGGUGCAAUGACAACAAGAUUUUGAAAUAAUCAGCACUAAUGUGACACUUAGUAUUAAAGAAAAAAAAACUCAUGAAUUAGGAAACUCAUAUUUCUUAAUUAAUAUAUUUCAAUAACUAGUCAUUCAACACUUAACUUUUAUUAUUUUUAAAAAUAAAAAAUAUAUUUAAAUGGCUUAAUUUGAUUGUACUCCCCAAAUUAAUCCGAUAAUAAACACGUCUGAAUAUUUUAAAAAAAUCUUAUUUUUUUUUUUCACUGAUUAAAAAAAAGUUUAAUUUAAUUAAAGAAUAAGUCAAUAUAUGUGAGAUUAAAAUAAUAAAUAAUUAGCUACAAAAGAUAGUACAGUUUGUAAUUUUUCUUUACUUUAGCAACCAUAAUAUUUAGUGAAAGCCAAAUCUUUAGGGUUCAGAAGGGUCCUCUGUGACAAACGUUCCUUAGGUCAAAUCAUUGGUAUGGUAAUUGAGUGACGUCAUGGAGAUGACGACUGAUAUAGUAUCUUAUAAUUGAGAUGUAAAGCAGCACUUGAAAAAAAAAAAAAAAACUUUUUUUUUCCUUUUUUCAAUCGAUCUUAAAUAGAGAAAUCUUUACUUUUUAUGAUUUUAUUUUAACAUUUUAAUAGUAAUAAAUUAAUAUAAAAUUAAAAUAUUUACAAAAAUUUUAUUUUAAUUUAAAGAAUUAUAUAAUUGUUAUCUUGGCAAAAUAUGUGACAAACUAAUAAAAUUUUUAAAAUAAUAAAAAUUAAAUAAUAAAAUAAUUAACGGUUAAAAUUAAUUAAUAAAUUUUUUAAAAUAUAAGAUAUUAAUAGUAAUUUUUUAAAAAAUAAUAUAAAUUAAUUUUUUAAAAUAUAAAAAUCAAAUCAUUAAUAAGAUUGAGAGGGAGAGAGAUUUAGUCCUCAAUCUCCCAUAUGAUCCUAUUUAGGGCUGUAAAUGAGCCAAGCUAUUCAUGAGCUACUCGAGACUCGACUCGAUAAAAACUCGACCGAGUUCGGCUCGUUUUUUAAACGAGCUAAACUCGAGCUCAAUUUUGAGGCUCGUCACUUAAACGAGCUGAGCUUGAGCUCCAUAGUAUUCGGCUCGUUAAGGCUCGCGAGCUGGCUCGUUUUUAGGCUCGCGAGCAGGCUCGUUGAGAAGGCUCGCGAGCAGGCUCGUUGAGAAGGCUCGCGAGCAGGCUCGUUGAGAAGGCUCACGAGCAGGCUCGUUAAAUAGGCUCGUGAGUAAUAUUGUUUAAAUAAAUUGGUGAACCAAUUCGUUAAAUAAAUUUAUGAACAAGUUUAUAUAUUAUUAAAAAAGUAAAAAUAACUAUAAAGUUAUAAAAUUUAAAUUAUUAUAAAUACUUGAAAAUUAUAGUAUUGAAAAUUACAAAUAAUUAAGAUUAAUUAUUAUAAUUAAUAUUCUUUAAAAUUAAAUUAUAAAAAUCUUUUGUAUAUAAUUAUUAUAAUAAGAUUCCAUAAAAUUAAUGUAUAAUCACAAAUAAUUAAUAUUAAUUAUUAUAAUAAGUAUUCUUUAAAAUUAUAGUACUACAUGAUAAAUUGAGUUGUAAAAAUUAUAUACAUUUUAAAAUUAAAGUAUAAUUAUAAAAAAAAUUUUGUAUAUAAUUAAGCAUACAAUAUAAAAGAUGAUAAUAAUUAUCAAAGUAUAUUAAUAAUAAUUAAUUAAGGUUAUAUGGAUGUUGAAGUUGAAAUUCAAGUUAACUAAUUGAACAAGUAUGAAGAUGAUUAUGAAGAUAAUUAAAUUAUAUUAGCUUGUUUCAACUGUUGAAAGUUGGAAUCAACUUUAUUCGUUUGAUAUUAAACUUUGUGUGUAAUCUAAUUUUAUUAUGUUGUUGAAUUUAUAUUUAUUUGUGUUAUUUUAGUUAUAAAUUGUGUUACGUAAUUUUUUUUAUGUACACUCUCUUUUUUUUUAUAUUAUUUAAAUUAAUAAUGAUUAAAAACUGAUUAAAGUGUAAUUAUUAAUUCGAGUUCAAGCCUGAACUUGAGCUCAAACCAAACUUUUUAAUUUUGAGCUCGGUCUCCAGCUUUUUUAACGAGUUUCUUAAUCGAGUUUUUCGAGUUCGAGCUCGAGUUUUAUUAACGAGCUUCUUAAUCGAGCUUUUCGAGCUCGAACUCGAAUUAGACUCGUUAUUAAAUCGAACGAGCCUUUCACGAGUUGAGCUCGAAUCGAGCUCGAUUAUAAUAUUUAAUUCUCGAGCCGAGCUUGAAUCAAAUAUUAGAGCUCGAGCUCGAGUUUCCAAACUUUUUUAAUAAACGAGUUUGAGCUUUACAAAACUCGGCUCGGUUCGGCUCGAUUACACCCCUAAUCCUAUUGCUUUUCAUAAAACAGAAGUUGUCCCAUUGAAGGGAAUUGUCUUUUAAUACAAGAGAAAUUAAAUUAUUUUUGAAAAUAAUUGUUGAAAGAUAAAAUAUUUUUUAAAAUUAAGAAUCAUAUUAACACAACGGAAUAUAAAAUCAAUAGAAUCUCUCUACAAACAUAAAAUCUACUGGCUAGUAGCUCAGGAUUUCAUGAAUUAUGAGUAAUUAACCUUAUUUUCUUAUAUUGUAAAAGCAAUCAAAUCAAUAUAUAAAAUAUAUACUUCUAAACACUCAAUAACUUUCAAUUAUAUUUUAAAAAAUUCGUGCAAAUCAUAUUAAUAACUUAAAUAUCAGUAUGAUUGCCAUAAAAUAUCAAUCACCUCAUUUUUAUUUUUUUUCUGAUAACUAUUUUAGUUAAAUAGUCGAAAAACAGGACAUAUUGAUACUAUUACAAUAAUAAUUUAUUGGUAGUUUAAAAUUAUUGAAAGGAAGUUUUAAUUUUUUGUUAUUUUAUAUAAUAAUAUAUUUUAAUAAAUAAAUUAUUUUAAAUUGAAUUAAUAAAUUAUUUUAGAUUGAAUAAAAUUAUAAUUUAAAAAAAAUUAUCUAUUGCAAAAAAAUAAUAAAUAUCAUAUUAUAACAACGAAAAUAAAUAUAAUAAUAUUUGAACCAUUGUCAUUGAUCUACUAUUGCAGUUGAAGUAUAUGGAAUGUGAUAACACAUAAAUAUUUUUCAGGAAAAACAUGAGUAGCAUCCUAGCUAUAUAUUCAAACAACAAUUUCUAAGACCAGAAAUGGGCAUUGAUAAGCACAAUAAACAUAAAAUUUACCAAAAGUAAACAGAAGUUAGCACCUCCAUGAAGCUUUUUGUAAAUAGCCAAGAACAUCCCAUGGUGCCCUCCUUCAACCUGAGGCUCCCUUAGCUAUAGUCUCCUUUCCAAAGUGCUAAAGAAAAUUAUUGCAAAAUUAGUGAAAUUUUCAUCACCCUCUCCCCCUUCCUUUUGUAAAAAGGACAACCUUGUAAAUAAGACCCAACACUGCUGAGCUUGGUAAUGGGUUGAACCCAUGUCCAAACACUUUCCUCAAAGUGAUCGAGACCCUUCAACACCUGAGCAUUUCACCUUCAAAUCCCAUAUAAUGUUCAACAAGUUAGGUUGGAAUUUUCACUAAAUUAUUUAUUUUUCUAUGUUUAUGUUUAUACGAGGAUUAACUCUGUUCGCAUGUCGAAUUUAUUUAAAACUUCCGAACAUAUUCCACAUGAUAUAGUAUAUAUAUACAAAAUUUCAGUUUCAAACCCAUAACACCUCAUUCAUUUCUGGAGAAUUCCUAGCAACUGUAUGUAUAGAUGUACAUUUCAAUAAGAAACAUAUGGUAUUCUCUAUUUAUUAUUCUUCCUUCUUUACAUGGUAUUAGAGCAAAGCCUGUACUGAUACUGUUUGUUUCUCUCUCUCUUCUUCUUCUUCUGUCUUCUUCUAAAAUGGCUGAAGAUAGUUCAUCAAAACUGAAGGAACAAGAGGUACCAGCACAAGAGACUUCCACCAAGAACACUGAGAGCAAGCUUGCCUUACACAACUCUGAUCAUCCGGGGAUGCAGUUGGUGAGUACUCCAUUGAUUGACAGUAAUUACCUAACAUGGAGCAGAUCGAUGGUUAUUGCUCUAAAAGCAAAAGAUAAGCUGGCCUUCAUCAAUGGUAAAUGUGAAAUGCCGGAUUCAAGAUCAGAGGACUAUGACAAAUGGCAAAGAGUGGACAAUAUGGUAACAUCUUGGCUAUUAAACUCUAUUUCUAAAGAUAUUGUUGAUGCUUUCCUAUAUGUAUGUUCCGCAAGAGAAUUAUGGGAAGAGAUUAAGGGUAGAUUUGGGGAAAGCAAUGGCCCAUUGCUUUAUCAGCUAAAAAGAGAAAUUAGCUCUUUCACCCAAGCUGAUAUGACUGUGAUUGUCUAUUUUACUAAGUUAAAAAAACUAUGGGAUGAGUUAACUUGCUUAAAAUCAUUGCCUGUUUGCACUUGUGGAAAGUUAUUAGUGAUAUGGAUAACGGAGAUAGAUUAAUCCAGUUCUUAUUGGGGCUGAAUGACUCUUUUGAUCAUGUUAGAAACCAGAUUUUGAUAAUGGAACCUUUACCAAGUUUGAAUAGAGCCUACUCAAUAGUUCUUAGUGUUGAGAAGCAGAAAGAGGUUCUUAAUGUCUGCUCUGCUGAGUUUAAUACUGCAGCUAUGAAAGUAAACGUUACUAAGGAGAUAAUUUUAAAACCAAGCAGGAUCCGAAAAUAUUUUUGGAUUGACUGCUAGUUCGACACCCAUUGUGUCGAACUUCCACAAGCUGAUCCGUGCUACGGGAGCAGUGUCAUCCGCUCCCGUGACUGCCAGGGUGACUUGUUUGGCACCUUAAGUGCCGAACACGCACAAAGUUCAAGACUUCGUCAGGAAUCUCUGACGAAAUCUUGACUAAGUACUGAACUCUUUUCUUUCUUUAUUUCGCAUGCAUGCAUAGCCACGCGGACCUGCAUGCACAGAUCUGGAGAGACUUUGGCUUUUAAAGUUAAGUCUCCCGCCAUCUCCUUCUUUUUCCCAAUUUUCAUUCUUUCUCUCCAGCUCUUCUUCUCCUUCUCCAGCUAUUCAUUCUUCCUCUUCGGUUCUUCUUCUCCUUCUUCAGCUCUUCACUUCUCCCUCUCCAGCUCUUUACUUCACUCUCUCCACACUUUGUCAUAGGCCAUCACCUGUGCACCUUCACUUUCAACACGCUGAAAUACUCUUCUUCAUCAGGCAUUUCUAAAUAUUUUUUUUUAUUAUGAAAUAUAUAUAUAAUUUUUUUACGUUAUAUAUAAAAAUGAAAUAAUAAAUUAAAAUAUUAAAUCUUAAUUAAAAAAAUAUAAGAUAUUUCGGAUUAAAUGAUAUUAUUAAUAUAAUUUUUUAUGUAAUUUUUAUAAAUUUAGAAAUAUUAUUAAAUGAAGUUUAAAAUUUAUAAAGUAAUGUCUGAAGAAACAUUUUAAAUCAUAUUUGAAAAAUAUUUUUUUUAAAAGAAUAGAAUAUUUUAAAUUCAAAUAUUAUAAUAAUAUAUAAAUUGAUUAGUAUAAAUUAUAUCAUAUAUUUAAGUUUUUGUAAUUAUUUUUUGUAUUCUAAUAAAAUUAAUACGAUUAAUAAAAUAUUUAAUUUUUGUAUUAUAAUAAAAUUAAUAAAAUUAAAAUAAAAUAUUUAAAAUUAAUUUUUGUAUUAUAAUAAAAUUAAUACGAUUAAUAAAAUAUUUAAUUUUUGUAUUAUAAUAAAAUUAAUAAAAUUAAAAUAAAAUAUUUAAAAUUAAUUUUUGUAUUAUACUAAAAUUAAUUUUUUGAAAAUAAUAAAAUUAUUUUUUUGAAAUUAUUUUUUGUAUUAUAAUAAAAUUAAUACGAUUAAUAAAAUAUUUAAUUUUUGUAUUAUAAUAAAAUUAAUAAAAUAUUUAAAAUUAAUUUUUGUAUUAUUCUGAAAUUAAUUUUUUGAAAAUAAUAAAAUUAUUUUUUUGAAAUUAUUUUUUGUAUUACAAUAAAAUUAAUAAAAUCUUUAAAAUUAAUUUUUGUAUUAUACUGAAAUUAAUUUUUUGAAAAUGAUACAAUUAAUUUUUUGAAAUUAUUUUUUGUAUUACAAUAAAAUUAAUAAAAUUAUAAUAAAAUAUUUAAAAUUAAUUUUUUUAUUAUACUAAAAUUAAAUUUUUGAAAAUAAUAAAAUUAAUUUUUUGAGAUUAUUUUUUGUAUUAUAAUAAAAUUAAUACGAUUAAUAAAAUAUUUAAUUUUUGUAUUAUAAUAAAAUUAAUAAAAUUAUAAUAAAAUAUUUAAAAUUAAUUUUUGUAUUAUACUAAUAUUAAUAUUUUGAAAAUAAUAAAAUUAUUUUUUUAAAUUAUUUUUUUGUAUUACAAUAAAAUUACUAAAAUUAAUAAAAUAUUUAAUGUUUGUAUUAUAAUAAAAUAAAUAAAAUUAUAAUAAAAUAUUUAAAAUUAUUUUUUGUAUUAUUGGAUAGAAUAGUUGUUGUGAUAGAAUAUUUGUUGUGAUUUUUAAUAGAAUAUUUGGUUGAAUUAUUGGAUAGAAUAUUUUUAAAUUAGUAGUAUUUAUUGUGAUUUAUGGAUAUAAUCUUUUUGUAAUAUGUAUGUUAUUGUAGUGUUAAAUUAUGUACCGUUAUUUAGUAAAUAAAUGAUGUUUGAAUAUUGUUAGUGAUUAUGAAUAUAAUAAAGUUUGUGAAGGUGUAUUUAUAUAACAAAUGCUAUUGUAUAUUAUUUUGUAUAAUUAGAUAUGGAGGGAAGACGCAACCGUCGUGAUCGCCCUAAUUAUAUUUUACCGAGUCCCAAUGAUCCAUCGUUGCUGUAUGGACAAGCCGAACAUCGGUCUGAGGCUAUAUGGCAACAAACUAUAGAAAGUGGGGCGAUAAGUUGCAGAAGAACAUGUACAAUUUUACAUUUGGACGAUAUUCCAGAUCAGUUAAUACCUCACCUGCGUCGUACAGGUUUCUAUGGUGUAAUACGGCUUGUUUUUUUUGCUCUGGAUUGGCAUUUAAUUACGGCUCUUGUUGAGCGGUGGCGACUAGAGACACAUACAUUUAUGUUUUCCGAAGGGAAAAUUACCAUAACCCUUCAGGAUGUAAGGCAAAUAACCGAAUUAUUUGUCAAUGGUGCAACUGUUACUGGCCGAUCACGCCACCAUUGGCCAUCAGUUUGUGAGGCAUUGUUAGGUGUCGUUCCACCAAUCUUUCUGCAUUGCCUUAAGAAUUCCAGCAUGACGAUUUGAAAUUACACACAAAUCUUCUCGAUUAGUCACAAAGAUCCUCAAGCAAUCCAUAAACCAUAACCAAUUGUCACCGUCCUCUUUAUCAACAAUGGCAAAAGCUAAUGGAAAUAGUUGAUUAUUUCCAUCGAGGGCGGUUGCACACAGUAUACACCCGGUGUAUUUUUCAUAUAGGAAUGUCCCAUCGAUUGAAAUUACAGGUCGGCAAUGUUUAAAUCCCUCAAUCGAUUGCUUAAAAGCCCAAAACAUACGGUCAAAUACACGACAUAUCGGAUUUAAUCGCUCAUUUAUCAAAUGUGGAUUAUCUUCAAUCAUGUAUACUGUUUCUGGGUUAAAAUGAUGAAAAGCGGUCAUGAAUCUACGCAAACGAUUGUAUAAUUCAUCCCAACCCCCAUAAAGUCUUGCAAUUGCCUUUUGCUUUGCUUUCCAUGUUUUUUUAUAAGACGACUCGUACCCAAAUUUAUCGCUCAUUUCAGCUUGUAGGGCAGUAAUUUUUAUAUCGGGCUGCUGUUCAAUUAAUGCAAAUAUGAAUGAAUAAAUGAAAUUUUCAUCCAAUUGGCUAUGAUUUUUUGUCAACUGAGGAUUUGUGCAUGUGUGCGGCCCACUGUAUCUCGUAAUUUUCCAUAUAUCCUCCCCUUCUUUCUUGGAUGCUCGAAGCCUCCAUGCACACCCACUGUCUUUGUCUUUACACUUUAUUGAAUAAGUCUUCUCUCUUGUUUCAUGAUAAUAAAAUUGGUGAUGAUGUCUUAGGUGAUAUUCUUUUGCAGCCGCAGCCACUGCAUCUCUCGAACAAAAUAUCAUCCCAAUUGAAAACUCUUUAGAAGGAUCCCAAAAGGAACGACCUUCUAGCCUAUCAUACGGAUCCACCCUAAGCAAAUUGAAAUCUAUUUCUGCAUAUGGGGGAGGAUGAACAACAUGCACAAUAGUAUUAUGAAAUUGGGUGUUAUAAUAUCGAGACUCACUCCUACUAUCCUCCUGACCAUUAUCACCAUCAUCAUCAUCCUCAGUUGACAUCCAUGAAUCAUCGUCAUCGUCCUCGUCAUCCUCAUCCCCAUCCUCGUCCUCGUCCUCCACUCUAUCAGAUAAAUUAUUUGACGGCCCUCCAAGACUAUCAGAUAAAUCAUAAUCAUCCACUACAUUUUGCUCUUCACAUUGCUCAACAUUUGAUUCCACAGCAAUUCCAAAUGGACCUACAUCAGCAUGCUCAUUCGUCGCAUUAACACAACGAAGUAUCUUAACAUAUAUCUCUAUACCAGGUAGACCACCAAUUUGAUAUAAGUAAUUAAACAUGCUAGAUACAUCAUUUUCAUCCCAUAUCUCCAUGCAUUCAAAUUUUAAGGAUCCAUCCAUAAUUGUAGGCUUUCUAAAACUAAUUAUCUCUAUAUAUUCAUUAUUCUCGGAUAAUCUAAUAGCACAAGUAAUUUUUCCGACCAAUUGAUUAAAACUUAUCCGUUUACCCAUGGGAACAAUCUUUGAAAAACCUCCAUCGUAAUCGUAUCCAUGAGAACAAUUUAUAAUAUUUCUAUUCCCAUAAAUAUUAGCAUAUGUGGAACUGCCAUUUUUUUUAUAAAAAUUUUUAAAAUAAUAUGUAAAUUUAAUAUUUCCAUAAUUGCUAAAAAAUAUUUUUUUCAUUUUUUAAAAUUAUAAUAAAUCAAAAUUACACACAAUAAAUAUGAUAUACUUAUUUAAAAAAAUUGAGAAUUUUUAUGUAUGUACCUUUCAAAUAUGAAUCACUCAAUCACGUUUGGAUCGAUAUGACUAAUGAAGUUAAAUGUUUUAAUUCCUGCAAAAAAAAUUAUAUUAAUAAUUUAUUUUUCAUUAUAAAAUUUACAAUAAAAAUAAAAAAAAUUAAAUUUACAAUAAAAAAUAUCUAAAACAUACCGUUGAAUGUUUUUGAAAGUCGAGUUGAAACAAAUAGAUAUGAUAAUUUUAUAAAAUUUAUAAAAAAAAAAAAGACUGAAUUGUAUCGAAAAUUAAAUAAAAAUUAUGCAAAUUUAUAAAAGUGAGAGGCAAUAAUAGACGAGAGAGAUAAUAAGCUUGAUAAUAGGGAUAAGAAGGUAGCAAUUGAGGUGUAUUUAUAGGCGGGUUGGAGUAUUAGUUCGGCAGUUUUACUGCCGAAUUAUUUUAAAUGCAGGCUGUNNNNNNNNNNNNNNNNNNNNNNNNNNNNNGGGUGGGUGGGGGAAGCAAAUGUGGAGGACAUGUUCCGCACUCAAAGUGCAAAACAUGUCCACGUGAUAUUUUCAGCGGGUGCAUAGAUUUCUGCACCCUGUGACAUUUGCAUGCAUGUCACAAGGGGUGCAUAAAUCUCUGCACCCCUUAUUUGCGUGCAUGUCACAAGGGGUGCAGAGACGUCACAGUGGGUGCCGAACACGCCACAUCAGCCACGGGAGCAAUUUCAAAUUGCUCCCGUGGCAGGAAACAGCUUGUUUGACACCAAUGGUGUCGAACAAGCUGGUCCGCGUGGCAGUUCGACACCCAGGGUGUCGAAUUGCCUUUUGUUCGACACCCAGGGUGUCGAACAAGCGUGUUCAGCAGUGAAACUCAAAAUGAGACACCGCUAGAUCUCAACAGUGAAGCUAAAAAACAUGAAGGAUAGUACCAGGAACUCUCAACCAUGAUCCAAGAUGAAAUUAUGAAAUACAUGAACGGAAAGAAUGUUUAUGAAUCAGCUGGUUGUGUCACUGGUCUUACAUGUAAUAUUUUAAAUUGAUACUCUCCUAAUUUUGUUAAGGGAAAGAGAAUAUCGAUUAUGGAUAUUGGUGCCACAUCAUACAUGUGUCAUGAGUUUUCUUUGCUAAUUAACCCUAUUAAAGCUAAACCUAAACUCCUUGUUACUUUACCUGAUGGCUCUACUCAGCAAGACAUAUAUGAAUUAUGGCAUCUAAGACUUGAUCAUACAUCCAAGAAAAAAAUUAUCUCAUAUCAAUGAAUUGAAUUUGCCAUAUUCUGUAGAUCAUCAUGUUUGUGAGAUUUGUCCAAUUGCAAAAGAACAUUAAUUAUGCUUUCCUGAAGGAAAAAUCACAUCUGAAGAUAUUUUUGAAACUAUACAUAUAGAUUUAUGGAGUCCAUAUUCUGGAAAAUCUACAACUGGUGCAACCUAUGUCUUAACUAUUGUGGAUAACCACUCAAGAGCAACUUAGACCUUUUUGUUAAAAGAAAAAAAUAGUCAUUUAUAAUAUUUUGGAAGAUUUUUCAAAAAAAAUUCAAAAUCAAUACUACAAAAAUAUUAAAGUAAUAAGAUCUGAUAAUGGAUCAAAAUUUGUAAACAAAACAUAUAACAAUUGGUUUAAAUAUAAGGGUACAAACUUGGUAUUAUAUAAAAAAUUUUAUCCUUACUCUCCGCAACAAAAUGGAGUUGUGGAGAGGAAGCAUAAAUAUUUAUUAUAAAUGGAAAGAGCUUUAAUGUUUCAAUCUGGAUUUCCAAAAUUUUUCUAGAGUGAGUCAAUCCUCAUUGCUAUUUAUAUCAUAAAUAUCCUACCAAAAGUUCUGUUUUAGAAUGAAUGGAAAAGCCCUUUCAAAUUUUACAUAAGAAAAAACUAGAUUAUACAUACUUAAAUGUUUUUGGAUGUUUAUGAUUUGCAACAAACAACAACCGCAAAAAUACAAGUUUAAAAAAAGAGCAAUAAAAUGUAUUUUUUUGGAUAUAUACCUGGCAUUAAAGAGUGCAAACCGUCUGACUUGGAACAAAAAAAUCAUUUUUAUGUCAAGUGAUGUAGUGAUUUAUGAAAAACAUUUUCUAUACUUAGAAAAAAUUUCAAACAGGAUGAUCUACAAACCAUCAUACCAAAUCCAAUACCAAAUACAGAUUAUCCCACAAAAAUAUAAGAGCAAAAGAACCAUUUACCUAUGAUUGAACCCUAUAACCAUCCUACUGAGCAAUUCACUGAAAUUUCAGCCACUUUUGAUGAUCCUUCUUUUCAAGACUUUCCUACAAAAAAGAGUAUCAGAGUCAAAAUAAAACCAACAUGGCUGAAUGACUUUGUUGCACAUACAUCUACCAAAACGGUAAACAGUGAAUACAUGUCUUUUUUGGCAAAUAUAUCCAAAAUCACCCAACUCUUAUCAAAAAGCGAAAGAGGAUAGCAAUUGGGUAUUGGCUAUGCAAAAUGAGUUGGAUGUCUUAGAGAGUAACAAUAUCUGAAUUCUAACAGAGUUGCUUGCAGGAAUUCCCUAGACAGGUAUAAAGCCAGACUUGUGGCGUGGGAUUAUAAUCAGUUAUCAGGGAUAGAUUUUCAUGACAGUCUUUCACAUGUACCUAAAGUGGUUACUGUCAGGAUUUUUUUGGCAAUUUCACUUGCUCGAGAUUGGCCAGUGCACCAAUUGGAUAUAAACAAUGUGUAUUUACAUAGUUCCAUUGAAGAAGAUCUUUAUAUGCAACCUUCAUAAGGCUAAAAUAAGGUAGGUAUGCAAAUUAAUGAAAAGUCUUUAUGGCUUAAAGCAAGUUGGACGAUAGUGGAAUAAGAAAUUUUCUAUGAAACUAAAAUAAUUUGGUUUUAGACGAUCAGAGAUUGAUCACUGCCUUUUCCUCAAAAGGUCACAUUCCUAGCACUUCUAGUGUAUGUAGAUGAUGUUUUAAUUAUAGGAAAUUAUGAACAGGUCAUCAUUGACACAAAAAUAUUCUUGGACGAUAUUUUUACUAUUAAAGAUUUUGGGUAUGUGAAGUACUUUUAAGAAUUGAAAUCACAAUAUCGGAGAAGGGAAUGUCUCUGAAUUAGAGAAAGUAUGCCCACUACAUCAUUGCUGAUGUGGGGUUUGAACAUACAAGAGAUGCCCAAUUUCCACUAUCAAAAGGGUUAAAGUUAGAUAACUAAUUAAACUAAAGAAGAAUUACCUAAUCCCGAACAGUAUAGACGUCUCAUUGGCCAUUUGCUGUAUUUAACCCUCACUCACCCACGAGGAGAAAAAGUUCUCUUAUUCUAACUAGAAAAAUGAUAUUUAUUGUAAUAUUUAUUGAGAAAGAAGAUUUCACUGUUUGACUAAAAAUCCUUCCUACAUUAAAAUGCAUUCUUUUACUACUAGAAUUAGGAUUUUAGAAAAUUAUAAUAACCCCUUUAAGUGGCAACCACGAAAUUCAUGGAAUUUUAUUUUAUGAACAAAAUUAUUUUCCUUAUUUAAUAAAAUUAUAAAGAGAAUUUUAUUUAAUUUUGUAUGGUAUCAAUGAUUCACAUUUUAUUAAGGUUAGUAAUUUUAUGGCGAUUCCAUUCUUAUUUUUUUAUUCGAUUAUCUAUAUUAUUGUUUAUUCAUUACUUGACAUGUGAUUUGAUAUUAUUAUAUAUUAAAAUUUUAAAUUAUAUUAUUAAUUUAGAGUUUCGCAUCAACUCUAAUUAUUAAAAAAAAAAAUAAAAUUAUUAUUUUUGCUAUUCAAGACAACGAUUAGUUUAUAUUAGAAUUGUAGGUUUUUAAAAUUUUCAAGUUUUAAUAGGUAAUAUUUUAAGUUCAUAAUAGAAUUGCAAAGUUUAAGUAUUUUUUGUCAUUUUUUAAAAAUAAAUUUUAUGAAAUAUUUUUUCAUGACUAAAAUAGUUUUAAACUUUGAGACAAAGCUAACUUCGCAUUUUUGUCAAUAUUAUAAACUAUGUUUGAAAGUUUUGAAUUCAAUCUCUGCCAAGAACAAGACAGGUUCAAGUAAAAUUCGUCGGAGUUGGAUUGACUUAGAAAAACUACAUAUCUAAGUUAUUGAUUGUGAAAAGCUCAUACAAUUGAUAUAAAAUGAAAUUUUUUAAUACUAAAAAUAAUGAAACUUUAACUUAACUUAGUCUAAAAUUUAUUAAUUAUUAAUAUAAAAAAUUACAAAAAUUAAUUUUAAGGGGGAAUACCAAAAAGAUCCUAAACUUUUUUAAAAAUUUGUAGUUCUAUCAUGAAUAAAAAUAUUAUUAAUUAGACUAAAUUUCUUUGGGUUUUUCUGAAGUGGCCAGUUUCAAUUUCAAGAUGAAUAGGAAAUUUUUGAAAAGUGGAUCCCAUUUUGGGAGCAAAGAACCGAAAAAAAUGUACAAGCACGCCGUCUGUGCGAUGAGCAGUAAAAGACAAAAUGAUGGGUAUACACGGAUACAACGUUAAUAUUUAAUACUGAGAAAAUAAUAAUAAAUUUUUAAAAAAAAAAGUCUGUACAAAAUGCAAUCAAUCAAUCCACAACGUUAAAAAAUGGAGAAAUAAUUAGCGUAGAGUCUACAACUAGGAGUUACUGUUUUGUCUUUUGUCUAUGUGCCGUUCUUCUCUGCAGAGUGGGCUGUGCAAUCGGUCGGUUCGGUUCCGAACCGAACCGAACCGAAAAAACCGAAAACCGAAAUAUAAAAAUGUUAAAAACCGAAAAAAUCGAUUAUAAAAAUAUAAUCGAACCGAAUCAAACCGAUAAAAAUCAGUUCGGUUCGAUUCAAACCGAAAUCUGUAAUUUUUUUUAAUUUUCUGCUUUUAAUUUCAGUAGAAUAAUUUAAUAAAUAUUUCACAUAAAUUUAUCAAUAAAUAUUGUUUGAAUACAUAAUAAUAAUACUUAAAAAAUCCAUAAAAAUCCAUAUGAAAUUUAAAAAUAUAUAUAAAAUCAAUAUUUCUAUGUGUAAAAUCGAUUUUUCAGUUUUUCAGUUAUUUAACAUGUUUAAACCGAAUCGAACCAAAAAUUGAAUAAAUUGAAAAAUACUAACCGAACCGAACCGAACCUUUCGAUUAACCGAACCAUUAAACCGAAAUUGAUCGGUUUGAUUCGAUUUUUCGAUUCAGACCGAUUUAUGCUCUCCCCUGACUGCAGACUUGGCUCACUUUCAACUUUUAACCUUACCUUUGCCUCCUCGGUGAAUUACCCUAAGCUAAGAAUGAAAGUAGAUAUAAAUAGAGUUAAUAGCAAAAUAAAUUCUGUAAUUUUUUUUAUUAUUAUAAUUAUAUUUUAUUUGUUUUUUAAUUAAAUUUUAAUAUUUAAAAUUUAUUCUAAAUACAUUUAAUUAUGAUUUAUAUUAUUAAAAAUUAAUAAAAUUAUCAUAUUAUUCACUAUAUAAUAUUAUAUCACCAUUUUAUAUUAGUAAAUUUUAAAAUUAAUAAAUAAAAAAUUAAAUAUUUUAUUUUUAUUGCGAUUUCAUUUUUUUUUCUAUGGUUUAACUCUGAUUGUUUAAUGUUUGAUUAAAUAUAUUUUAAUUUAUAUAAUUGAAAACUUAUAAAAUUAUUAAGUUAUUUUUUUUACUAUUAAAUAUAUUUAAAAUUUAUUAUUUAUAUUAUUAUUUUUUUUAUAUUUUUAUCGAUAUUUCCACAAUAAUAAUUUGUUUUGUUGUUAUUUGACUAAAAAUUAUUAUCCACCGACUUUCUUCAAAUCUAUUCAAUAUACUUUUUAUUUGAUAUUACUUUCAAAAUUAUCGUUAAGAAAUAAUUUUAUUAAUUAUAUUAAUUAUAAAAUAUUAAAAAAUAAUUUAAAAUAAUAUUUAAUAUCAUUCAAUUUAAAAAUAUUAAAAAUAAUAAAAUAUUUCUUUUAUAUAAUUUAUUAAUCAAAAUAGGUAAAACAAAGAACAUAUUUUAAUUUCAAUAUAAAAAUUUUAUAAUUAAUAAAUACUAAAAAUAUAAUAGAGUCAAAAUAAAAAAUAAAAUCUCAAUAAUUAGCAGCGGAUUAUAAAAAAUUUUAAAAUUAUAUUUAGAAAAAAGAUUAAUUAUUAUUUAAAAAUUUAGAGAAUAAAGUUAUAAUUUGCUAAAAAAAAAUAAAAGAAAUAAGAAGAGUUGAAAAUGAAAACUGGAAGACAGGUCUUGGAAACUUCUCCAUUUGCAUUGCAACGUGUGAAGAAUUCCAAGGGUUUCUUUCUUCUCAAGUGGUAAGCAUGUGAACCUCUGUAUCACUUGUCUGUCUUCUACCACUCACUAACAUCAUUUUUUGACCAUAUACAACCCUAAAUUUUCAAAUAAUGCAACCCCACAUUCCAUCACUCAGUUGAAUUCUAUAUCUGGGAAAGCUCAUAUUCAUUAAGAUCUUUCUGAAAAUUUUAAAUGUAAAAAAAAAUAAAUUACACUUUAAUCCUUAAAUUUUAAUAUAAUUAAUAAAUUGAUCUCUUAUAUUUUUAACUAAAUACGUAAUUAUAAAAAUAAAAAAAUUAAUUUAUUAAUUAUAUUAAAAUUAAAAAUUAAAAUAUAAUUUAUCCAUUAUUAUUAAAAUAUUAAAAAAUUUAUUAACAUUAAACGUUAAGUUUUUUAUUAUUUAAUUUUAUAAAAAUUAAAUUAAUUAUUUUCUCUAAUUAAUAAUAAUUUAAAUUUUAAUAUUUAAUGAUUAAUAUUAAUAAAAAAAUUUGUUAAUAAAUUUUUUAAUAUAAUAAAAAUGUUUUAAUAUAUUUUUUAAACAAUAAUUCUCUCGUUUUAGUUUGAUACGAUGAGUGAAAUAAAAAUAUCAUUUCAAUACCAAAAAGAGACAAAUUUUUUUUUAAAAAAAAUUUUGAGAACAGUAAAAAAAAAAAAAAAAANNNNNNNNNNNNNNNNNNNNNNNNNNNNNNNNNNNNNNNNNNNNNNNNNNNNNNNNNNNNNNNNNNNNNNNNNNNNNNNNNNNNNNNNNNNNNNNNNNNNNNNNNNNNNNNNNNNNNNNNNNNNNNNNNNNNNNNNNNNNNNNNNNNNNNNNNNNNNNNNNNNNNNNNNNNNNNNNNNNNNNNNNNNNNNNNNNNNNNNNNNNNNNNNNNNNNNNNNNNNNNNNNNNNNNNNNNNNNNNNNNNNNNNNNNNNNNNNNNNNNNNNNNNNNNNNNNNNNNNNNNNNNNNNNNNNNNNNNNNNNNNNNNNNNNNNNNNNNNNNNNNNNNNNNNNNNNNNNNNNNNNNNNNNNNNNNNNNNNNNNNNNNNNNNNNNNNNNNNNNNNNNNNNNNNNNNNNNNNNNNNNNNNNNNNNNNNNNNNNNNNNNNNNNNNNNNNNNNNNNNNNNNNNNNNNNNNNNNNNNNNNNNNNNNNNNNNNNNNNNNNNNNNNNNNNNNNNNNNNNNNNNNNNNNNNNNNNNNNNNNNNNNNNNNNNNNNNNNNNNNNNNNNNNNNNNNNNNNNNNNNNNNNNNNNNNNNNNNNNNNNNNNNNNNNNNNNNNNNNNNNNNNNNNNNNNNNNNNNNNNNNNNNNNNNNNNNNNNNNNNNNNNNNNNNNNNNNNNNNNNNNNNNNNNNNNNNNNNNNNNNNNNNNNNNNNNNNNNNNNNNNNNNNNNNNNNNNNNNNNNNNNNNNNNNNNNNNNNNNNNNNNNNNNNNNNNNNNNNNNNNNNNNNNNNNNNNNNNNNNNNNNNNNNNNNNNNNNNNNNNNNNNNNNNNNNNNNNNNNNNNNNNNNNNNNNNNNNNNNNNNNNNNNNNNNNNNNNNNNNNNNNNNNNNNNNNNNNNNNNNNNNNNNNNNNNNNNNNNNNNNNNNNNNNNNNNNNNNNNNNNNNNNNNNNNNNNNNNNNNNNNNNNNNNNNNNNNNNNNNNNNNNNNNNNNNNNNNNNNNNNNNNNNNNNNNNNNNNNNNNNNNNNNNNNNNNNNNNNNNNNNNNNNNNNNNNNNNNNNNNNNNNNNNNNNNNNNNNNNNNNNNNNNNNNNNNNNNNNNNNNNNNNNNNNNNNNNNNNNNNNNNNNNNNNNNNNNNNNNNNNNNNNNNNNNNNNNNNNNNNNNNNNNNNNNNNNNNNNNNNNNNNNNNNNNNNNNNNNNNNNNNNNNNNNNNNNNNNNNNNNNNNNNNNNNNNNNNNNNNNNNNNNNNNNNNNNNNNNNNNNNNNNNNNNNNNNNNNNNNNNNNNNNNNNNNNNNNNNNNNNNNNNNNNNNNNNNNNNNNNNNNNNNNNNNNNNNNNNNNNNNNNNNNNNNNNNNNNNNNNNNNNNNNNNNNNNNNNNNNNNNNNNNNNNNNNNNNNNNNNNNNNNNNNNNNNNNNNNNNNNNNNNNNNNNNNNNNNNNNNNNNNNNNNNNNNNNNNNNNNNNNNNNNNNNNNNNNNNNNNNNNNNNNNNNNNNNNNNNNNNNNNNNNNNNNNNNNNNNNNNNNNNNNNNNNNNNNNNNNNNNNNNNNNNNNNNNNNNNNNNNNNNNNNNNNNNNNNNNNNNNNNNNNNNNNNNNNNNNNNNNNNNNNNNNNNNNNNNNNNNNNNNNNNNNNNNNNNNNNNNNNNNNNNNNNNNNNNNNNNNNNNNNNNNNNNNNNNNNNNNNNNNNNNNNNNNNNNNNNNNNNNNNNNNNNNNNNNNNNNNNNNNNNNNNNNNNNNNNNNNNNNNNNNNNNNNNNNNNNNNNNNNNNNNNNNNNNNNNNNNNNNNNNNNNNNNNNNNNAAGAAAACUAAAGAUGUUUAAUAAUUGACCAUUCUGAAAAAAAAAAAAAAACAAACUCAUAAUCGAUGCAGGUGCAACAGUAAAGUUACAGUGCAAUAAUACCAAGCACCCACAAGAAGCCAAGGCCACAACGGACAAGAACGGCUACUUCUUCCUCGAAGCACCCAAGAAAAUCACCAACUACGGGGCCCACAAAUGCAAAGUGUCAUUGGUCUCAGCACCAAACACCGCAUGCGGCAAAGCAACUGAUCUCAACGGUGGAGUGAGUGGCGGAGCGUUGAGGCCGGAGAAGAAAUACGUUUCACAUCAGCUUCCAUUUGUUCUGUAUACAGUUGGUCCUUUUGCAUUCGAGCCCAAGUGCCCCCGUUGAUUGAUGUCUAGCCUGCCACCAGUUUAUUAAUUAUUAGUGUUACUUUAAUUAUGUCUUCUUUUUUAUUUUUAGAUAUAUAAUAUAGUUUGAGGUUUUCAUGCUGUGUGUUUCUGAUCUGUAAUGGGAGGUUUGUUAAGUAUCAUUAAUCAGUGUGAUCUUUGUUUAUGUGAAAUAAAUGAUA
Molecule: long non-coding RNA, 41483 nt
Filed under: Manihot esculenta (cassava)
Lineage: Eukaryota; Viridiplantae; Streptophyta; Magnoliopsida; Malpighiales; Euphorbiaceae
Description: long non-coding RNA (MESC_LNC009423)
Source: RNAcentral